AAUGAACGCCGGCGGCAUGCCUUACACAUGCAAGUCGAACGGCAGCGCGGACUUCGGUCUGGCGGCGAGUGGCGAACGGGUGAGUAAUACAUCGGAACGUACCCUGUUGUGGGGGAUAACUAGUCGAAAGAUUAGCUAAUACCGCAUACGACCUGAGGGUGAAAGUGGGGGACCGCAAGGCCUCACGCAGCAGGAGCGGCCGAUGUCUGAUUAGCUAGUUGGUGGGGUAAAGGCCCACCAAGGCGACGAUCAGUAGCUGGUCUGAGAGGACGAUCAGCCACACUGGGACUGAGACACGGCCCAGACUCCUACGGGAGGCAGCAGUGGGGAAUUUUGGACAAUGGGGGCAACCCUGAUCCAGCAAUGCCGCGUGUGUGAAGAAGGCCUUCGGGUUGUAAAGCACUUUUGUCCGGAAAGAAAUCGCGCUGGUUAAUACCUGGCGUGGAUGACGGUACCGGAAGAAUAAGCACCGGCUAACUACGUGCCAGCAGCCGCCGUAA
This 500-nucleotide ribosomal RNA is filed under the name uncultured bacterium. RNAcentral's name for it is "partial 16S ribosomal RNA". It matches the Rfam family "Bacterial small subunit ribosomal RNA", at positions 29 to 523 of the family's 1533-position model. The record is from RNAcentral.